UGGCAAAUCGCGACAACGGACGUCGCUCCACUCCCCACAAUAGACUCCACGUGGCAUGUCCCGGUGAUGGCCACGAUUCCACUCCACUACUCUUCACAACAAACUCCUCCUGACCCCGAGCAGCCCACUGCCAGAUGGUUACAAACAUCGCUAUCAGUCUGUUGCACCCUCCGUCUAUAAAAGGGGGGCUCCAUAUACAUUAUUCUCUAAGCUCUAAUUUUUAUCCCGAAACUCUGCUAAAAUUUUCGUUCGAGCACUCCAUUCUUGUUGAGAUAGAGAACUGACUUGAGCAUCGGAGGGUCUUGCCGGAGUACCCC
RNAcentral lists this long non-coding RNA (317 nucleotides) under Elaeis guineensis (African oil palm). Its description in RNAcentral is "long non-coding RNA (EGUI_LNC024478)". Lineage: Eukaryota; Viridiplantae; Streptophyta; Magnoliopsida; Arecales; Arecaceae. The record is from RNAcentral.